RNAcentral lists this small RNA (173 nucleotides) under Leminorella grimontii. RNAcentral describes it as "Manganese sequence". It matches the Rfam family "Manganese Mn2+ riboswitch aptamer (yybP-ykoY)". From Rfam's summary of the family: This RNA was originally discovered in E. coli during a large scale screen and was named SraF. The family was later found to exist upstream of related families of protein genes in many bacteria, including the the yybP and ykoK genes in B. subtilis. The specific functions of these proteins are unknown, but this structured RNA element may be involved in their genetic regulation as a riboswitch. Lineage: Bacteria; Pseudomonadati; Pseudomonadota; Gammaproteobacteria; Enterobacterales; Budviciaceae. The record is from RNAcentral.
GCGUCCGUUAUUGGGGAGUAGCCGGCUUUUGUCUUUGACAUUAGCGCCUGCAUCAACAUACUCGCCGGGCUUUACGUCUGGCGUGGUGUAGGCAGCCCUAUCGGGUAGGCGAGACCAUUAGCAUUCCGAACGUGCGGUAAGGUUGGGCCACGUUUGGUUUUGCUAUUGGCUUU